This 497-nucleotide ribosomal RNA is filed under the name uncultured bacterium. RNAcentral describes it as "partial 16S ribosomal RNA". It matches the Rfam family "Bacterial small subunit ribosomal RNA", at positions 28 to 507 of the family's 1533-position model. The record is from RNAcentral.
GAUGAACGCUGGCGGCGUGCCUAAUACAUGCAAGUCGAGCGAACGGACGAGAAGCUUGCUUCUCUGAUGUUAGCGGCGGACGGGUGAGUAACACGUGGAUAACCUACCUAUAAGACUGGGAUAACUUCGGGAAACCGUAGCUAAUACCGGAUAAUAUUUUGAACCGCAUGGUUCAAAAGUGAAAGACGGUCUUGCUGUCACUUAUAGAUGGAUCCGCGCUGCAUUAGCUAGUUGGUAAGGUAACGGCUUACCAAGGCAACGAUGCAUAGCCGACCUGAGAGGGUGAUCGGCCACACUGGAACUGAGACACGGUCCAGACUCCUACGGGAGGCAGCAGUAGGGAAUCUUCCGCAAUGGGCGAAGGCCUGACGGAGCAACGCCGCGUGAGUGAUGAAGGUCUUCGGAUCGUAAAACUCUGUUAUUAGGGAAGAACAUAUGUGUAAGUAACUGUGCACAUCUUGGCGGUACCUAAUCAGAAAGCCACGGCUAACUACGUG